ACUGUAAGUCUCGCGGAGGAGCAAGCUUUGCAAAAUGCUUGGAUUGGUAUUCCGCUGUUAAGUCUGGGAGACUUGUCCGCGUAAGGGACUCGAGAAGGCUGGCUCGGGUGUGCGACACUUGAGCGCCGCGCGGGGAUUUUUGAGGCAAAAAAGCUAACCCCGUGACAAGUUGGUAUCAGAGCUAUGUUGAGCUCUUUUGGGAUGGAAGUUUGGCCGAAAGGUGCGACCUUGGCGGCGAGGUUGGAGUGAGCAGAGUCACUCUAACGGAAGGACUUGGAGCCGACAAUGCAUCAGGGCAAUACUUCGCUUGUAAGAGAUGCGGAGUUGAGUUGUGAUGGAUAUUGGUGCUACCCACGAAGUCUUUGCGACGAGUAAAGCCGGGUGGUUCAGAAUUGCACUACGCAUGGAUGAGAGUCAGAUAACAGCGAGGGAAGUGUCUGUUGGUGUGGACUCGUGGUGGGGUGAAAGCUAAGUUCAUGUCGAUACCCUGUGAAGAUUUCCAAGUCAUUCUCAGGAUGGAGAAAUGGUUAAGGCCUUAGUCGUGUGGCAGACGAUGGGGCAAUGAUUAUGAAGAAUCUGUUUGCGGUCCGUGGUUGGAGUUAUCGCGGAGUUGGAUAUUGCGAAUGCCCAAGGAACCUGAGUUGUGCAGAGGUGCUUACGACUCAGGGUGGGGGAGUACACAAGGUGGAGAUGUAUUCCCAAAUGUGAAUCCUGGACGAUUGUGCUUCUCGAAAGGAUAUAGAUUAGGCGGUGAAACACUGGGCGAAAGAGUUUACUUCGUGCAUGCUGAGUUUGAAGUCUGACGGGCAGUAGUCUUCGUUGGGAGCAGCUUCGACCAAAGUUGCAGGAAUACCAAAGGGCUACUCGAUGGACCAGUAUUUCUCUCUUGGUAAAGGAAGAUCGAUGGGGAGAUCGAUGACUCUUUGGAGUGUGCCCAUGAUAUGGAAAGAGAAGGCAUCCUUGUGCAAGAGUAAGGAUUGAGGUUGGAAUCUUAACUCGCGGAGUGAGGUGAUAGGGCUAGCUUCGAGCAGAACGGUGACAGUGUUGGUGACUCGAGGUAGCUCACAUGUAUCCAUUGGAUGGAUGACAUGGGUUCCGCUUGAGGGAAUAGUGAAGGUUGUGGCAGAGCCGAAGCUAGCAGAGCGGAAUGUGGGGCAUUGAGAAUGCCGAUGGGGUCUGAGUGCGCUUGGUGGGAGAGCGACUCAGAGUGGGGGAGCACGUUUGGUCAUUAAGUGUUCCCAUGUGCAUUGCCUCGGUGAAGGAGCUCGUCUAUGAUAGGAAGUGGGAUACAACACAUGUGGUAAAAGAGUUCGCUUCGUGGAGCUCAAGUUGGGAGUCUAGGCAGACGAAUCCAUGGUAGUAACAGCUAGGCGUUGGACUAGGUUGUGAAGGGGACCAAGGAUUGCGGGAGAGCUUAGCACUUCUCUUGGUGCGAGAAGGCCGGUGUGGAGAUCGGUUGCUCUUUACAAUGUGCCCACGAGUUGGACAGAUGAGGCAUCAUUAGUCGGGUUGAAGUGUGUGUGGAUUCACCCGAGAUCAUGGUGCUGGUUGGAGUAUGGACAGUUCGCAACUGCGGGAAGGGUCGAGGUAUCGAAGUUCUGUAAGGGCGGUGCGCCCAGGGUAGCGACAUUACCGUGACAGCCAGACUUGCAGUUCAGACUAAGCAGAGAGUGAACUGAAUUCCGUUCAGCAAUCAAUCAUGAGGGUGGUUUCCCUAGAGUUGGGAUAUGGCAAGUUGCGAGCGAAAAGAGACAAGGUGUUCGAUAGGCUCAAACUUGGUCAAACACUUUGAUUGCGAAUCGAAGUGGAGUUCUGCGAGAGCCUAACGAAGUAAGGCUUGAGUGGAUUUGUGGGACGAAAGCUAAAGGUGCCGUGCAUCAACAAGUAGUCGAAAUGCAAAGCAGUCAGGAGGCAUGACAAAGGUGCGUGGUGAAGUCAGUAGAGCAGGAAGUAGUUGAGGCCGGCUAGUCCCGACGAAAGACUUGAAAGCUUGAGGAGACCAUAGGGGAGCUCGACGUUGUGCGAUUGUGGAGGCAUUAGGGUGGCAAAAGUUGUUUGUGGAGAGGGCACGAGUAUGGCAUGAGUACCCACAAGAGUUGUACCGAUAAAAUUCAAUAAGACAAACUUUAAUGCAAUGGAAGCGGGAGUUCAAGUGGAGGAACUCGCCACAUAUGGGGACGGGAGUUCGAGUAGAGGAACUCGCCGUAUGUGCGAGCGGGAGUUCGAGUGGAGGGACUCGCCACAGAUGAGAUCGGGAGUCGAGUGGAAAGACUCGCCGUAUAAGACUGGGAACGUCGGAUCGAGGAUCUGUCGUAGGUGCCUAGGGAGAGGCAUGAAAUCUGAUGUUAUGGUAAGGGGCAAAGGCGAAGACGAGCAGCGUGCUGAUUCGCGUGGAGAACUCCAAGACGAGGGACGUUUGGAGUCUAACCCCUAAGUCCAAGGUCGAUGGAUGUAUGACCUUGAAUCCCAGAGAGGGGAAGUUUAGUCGGAGGACUAUUUCCUUGAGAAGGAGUUAUAAGGUUGGCUACUGGACUCGUGGAACUUUGGUUAAGUCAGGACGAAGUGGGCGUUGAGGCCGAGUAGCUCCGAUGGAGAGAACCAAGUUAAGGAAGAGUGCCAGUACAAUCUUGCAAUCCGAGGGAUUANCCUGAUGUUAUGGUGAGGGGCAAAGGCGAAGACGAGCAGCGUGCUGAUUCGCGUGGGGAACUCCAAGACGAGGGACGUUUGGAGUCUAACCCCUAAGUCCAAGGUCGAGGGAUAUAUGACCCUGAAUUCCAGAGGGGAAGUUUAGUUGGAGGACUAUUUCCUUGAGAAGGAGUUAUAAGGUUGGCUACUGGACUCGUGGAACUUUGGUUAAGUCAGGGCGAAGUGGGCGUUAAGGCCGAGUAGCUCCGAUGGAGAGAACCAAGUUAUGGAGGAGUGCCAGUACAAUCUUGCAAUCUGAGGGAUUAUGAGUUUUAAGUUCUGGUUUCGUGGAGGAGUUAGUGUGGUGCGAGCGAGGCACCAAGGCUGGGGAGCUCUAACUCAGGGAGGGACAGAACACGUAUAUGGAGUGGAUGGUCGAGGAGGACCAAUGGGCUUUUCAGAAGCAUUGUUGAGCAGACGAACUCAAGGGCAGGUCAGCGUGGCAUGCGAUGCCAAGGCCAUGGGUGGCUCUGGUCUGGAAGAGUAGUACUGCUGGCAAAAGAGUUUGAAGAAGUGGUGGAGCAUCGACGAGGACGUCGAUGAUUCAAGUGGGGGAGCCUGUCACGGGUCGAUCGCUGGGACUCGAUCGUGACACCUUUUUGGGCCAUAUUUGAUAGGCAUUUGGGUUGACGAAGUUAUAGAAUUGCGGAGUUGAGGCGUUCCGUCAGGUAGGAGUCGCUGUCAAGUCAACGGAGGCAAUUCCCUAGCAAUGGCCCGUGCCAUGACAUGGAAAUAGGUGCCGCAAGCGGGGUUUGAAAUCCCUAUGCUGAAGACGCUGCUAUGGUGAGGUCACGCUGCUAUGGUGAGAGGAACUAUGGUUCUCAGGUGGUAUGGUGAGAGAAAUGAAAUCCCUAUGCUGAAGACUACUCAUCCUCGGUCACCACCAUAACCGACGGCACCGCUGUAACGACCCAGCCCACUAGCAACAAUAACUCGUUGGGCCCAAUCACUGGCCCAAAAUGCUUAAGCCCAGUUAUUAUUACUAGUGUCUAAAUCUAUUAUAAACCUAAUGACAACCCCAUUUCUAUCCGAUGUGGGAUUAUUGGGGUGUCACAGACUCCCUCCGUUAAGGCCCUGACGUCCUCGUCAGUCCAAUCACACACACAGCCCAAGAUCACCAGGCGAUGUGAGACUCGUCUCGCUAGCCCGUCAUCCAGACCCUGGCUCAGCCGAGACUCGCCACACAUGUCCAGCUGGUGAACCGGCUCUAAUACCAAAUGUAACGACCCGACCCGCUAGCAACAAUAACUCGUUGGGCCCAAACCACCGGCCCAAAAUGCUUAAUCCCGGUUAAGAAUUUAACCCUAUUAUAUCUUAUAUAUAGGACUAUCUGGGGUCUCACAACCGCCUUCUCCAGUUCUUCGCUCCUCCUCAAUCUUUCAGGUAAUUUAAUUACUUUCUUUGAUAUCUGCAUCCUAUAAUGUCAAUACGUUAGGGACAUAUAUCCUACUGAUAUACGAACAUAACAUAAAAAAAUGGUAAAUAUACUAACAAAACUUAUUACAAGAUUGGAUCAUCGAUCUUACAAAUUGAUACAUGAGUCCUAAUUACUAUAACAUAAAAAGAAGAUGACUAAAGGGAUUAGAGUGCUACCAUUAUUUUGGUACACUGUUUACUAAAGCAAAGGCCAUGCCUAAAUGCUUUGAUAGGUUCAUCACUCCCAGAAUGUAAUAAAUCAUUCAUCGAUCUUUAAAAGGUUAGUAUUACUAAAUUAGUAUUAUAAUUUAAAAGUUAUUCUACAAAAACUAAAAAUGUAAAAAUAAUAUAUUUAAAUUGCUAAAUACCAAGCUAAAAGUCUGAUUUAUGUACAUUAUUUAUUUAUAUUUGAAUUAUGUCGAGCAAAACAUGAGCAAUUAAGUUAAUUUGGGUUACCUCUUGUUCAGCUUGUUUAUUUUUCAAGUUGAAAAUGUGAUCUUAUGAUAGCUUGUUUAUUAAACAAGCGAGAUGCAUCGGAAUCAAUUUUGGGCCGAACAUAAGCUAGUGUUGAGUUGCGAACUAUAUGUUGAAUUGAUAGCCUGGUUGAUCAGAACGCUUGAUACUUGGCUGUAGUAUCCACUGUGGAUGGUUGGUAAUAUACUACUGUUGUAAUGUAUACAUGUAGUAGAAGAAUCUGGUUUAAAACCUCUAAUUAAAUUUGCAUAAGAUUAACAUAUAUAAUUAUUAUUUUGUUCCACAUGUUUGCACACAUAUUCAUGCUAAUUUAGCUAUUUGUUCCAUAUAUUUGCCCACAUAUUGUUUACCAUUUGUUUGAUAGGCUACCUAAAUAUGAAAAUUAAUUAUUUGCUAUUUACUCCUUGUUAAUGUUAGUUUCGUUAGAUUCACAUUAAAUUUUAUAUUGUUCUGGUAUAAUUCAACAAUAAAAUUUCAAGUUUGAUAAUAUUUAAAAAAUAUUACAUGAUAUGUAUGGAAAUAAAAUGUGGUUGAUUUGAAGUUGAGUGAAAACAAUGAUCUCGUUCUUAAAAAAUAAUAUAUUGUAAGAAUUAGAGCAAAUGAAAUAGCAAAAACAAUAAAAGUUUGAUUGGAAAGUAAUCUUUAGGAGAUGGACGGUUAUUUUAUAUUAUUUUAUAUAAUAUCAAAAUAGCACAUACGGCGAUACAUAAUUAAUUUCAAGCUUUUCAUAUUCUUAUAUAGGUAGGAUAUGAAAAGUAUAUUUUUCUUUUUUAAAAUUUGCUAUUUUUUUCCUUACUCUUCAUUCAAAUUAAAAUUAUCAAAAUAUACAAUUUUAUAUAAGGUAAAUUGCAUUGUUACCUUCUGAACUUUUGGUGAAGUUUCACUUUACCCCUCGAACUUCUAAAAUGGACAUCUAACACCCUAAACUCUAAUAUUUCAUUCAUUUUACCCCUUCCGUCAGUUUUCCGUCAAGCUCCAUUAACCGAAAACUAACUGAACGUGUAAAACAAAUGAAAUAUUAGAGUUUAGAGUGUCAGAUAUCUAUUUUAGAAGUUUGGGGGGUUAAGUGAAACUCGCCAAAAGUUCAGGAGAUAGCAGUGCAAUUUACCCCAAAGGGACACUCUUGACUAUAAAUUAUUUUAUUAUAAUAUGUUACUUAUGAAUUGACUACUAAUUCUCAAGUUAGUGAUCAUGCUUGAUUUUGAAUAUAUAUAUAUAUAUAUAUAUAUUAUCCUAAAAUAAAUCAUACCGUAAUUUAUCCUAUAUUUUAUUGUAAUAAAAUAAAAGCAAAAGAAAUGAAUUAGAGUGGCUUAAAGAUAAAAAAUGAGCGAUACUAACUACCUACGAUGCUCAAACACUCUACUAUCCUGGUGUACUCGCUAAUAUAGUUGAUUUAUAAUAGGUGUCCUCACUCGGAUAUAGAGAUUUUAAUUCUCAGUUAAUUUUCUGUAGUACUCGUUUGUCCCUUUUAUCUUUAGAGGUAUUGUUCUAGAAAAUACACUUAUUUUCUAUGAAACUAUGCAAUGUAAUUUUAUUGUAGUCUAAAAUAAAAUUUGUCUUUCAUUUCAGCCAAUUAGAAAUUUUUAAUAUAAAAAUAUAAAAUAAUAAUUUAUAAUAAAUUAAAAUUUUAAAAAUUAAAUUAGUGAUGUUAGAUUAAGAUAUACUGAAUAUCAUCUCAUUCUUCAAAUAUCGGUAGCGGUCCAAUCCAUUUGCUUUUUUUUAAAAUUAUUUUGUAAUAUUUUUCUUCUUGGAACUCUCACUUUGAAAUUUUUAAAAAUAAAUUAGUGAUGUUAGAUUAAGAUAUGCUGAAUAUCAUCUCAUUCUUCAAAUAUUGGUCCAAUCUAUUUGCUUUUUUUUAUUUUUUAAUAUUGUUUUUCUUGGAACUCUCACUUGUCAAAGGGGUAAAUUGCACUGCUACCUCCUGAACUUUUGACGAGUUUCACUUAACCCCCCAACUUCUAAAAUAGACAUCUAACACCCUAAACUCUAAUAUUUCAUUUAUUUUACCCCUUCCGUCAGUUUCCAGUUAACGGAGCUUGACGGAAAACUGACGAAAGGGGUAAAAUGAAUGAAAUAGUAGAGUUUAAAGUGUUAGAUGUCCAUUUUAGGAGUUCGAGGGGUAAAGUAAAACUUUUUCAAAAGUUCAGGGGGUAACAAUGCAAUUUAUCCAUUUUAUAUAUUCUCUUGAAAAUAUUUUUAGAGAAUAAUUGUACUUUUUUUUCAUAGGAGAAAAAUAUGGCAACCUUCAAGAUGAUGGUGGAGAGGUUGUUCACGAUCGGUCUUGCAUUAUUAUGAGGGGUGACAGUCUUUGAUUUUGGAAUUUCAAUCCUCUUAGUUCAGUUCGUGUCACGCCCCGGGGCCGAUUUUAAAAGCCUUUUUAAAACAGAGUUGCGGAAAACGUGCCAUUUUUUUUUNGAGUGCUUUUGUAAUUAAAUUACACACAAAAACAUCGUCAACUGAGAGUUUAGCUACACUGUAAAAAUCUCAGUCCUUACAUCGUGAGAAAAGCUAGUGAUGGAGUAUGCACUACAGUAAAAACCCACUACACGUACAUGUAUCUUGCGGCAUUCUUUGUAGUUCCUAACAAUGUGUUGCUGAUUGCGACCACGAUGACCAUCAAGAUCAAAAUCACAUCCCAUAAACAUAUAAGGGACCAUCCAAGAAGGCUCCUCUUGCUCUUCAUAGCUGUAUUUGCUAUUAUCCUUUAUAGUAUUUGUGUUGUUUCUUUUAUUGUAUCUAUUAUUUUGCUUUUACAUAUCACGACGAAAAAACUGAUUUGUUUUGGUAUGAUAGAGAUAUUAGUUUAUUUAUCAGGUUUAUCUGUUGUUUUUUCAGUGUUAGCUAGACAUGCCAUUUAUUGGAUACGUCUAGCAUGUUAUUAUUAUUAGAUAUCAGUUAUUGUAAAUAAAUUAUAUAUACUAUGAAGAUGGAUCAGUUGAAGUAUUAAAUGUUGUUUGUGGAUAAAUAUUUGGGCCACUUAUUUGCAAUUUGGUACUUUGAAUGAAUCUAUUUCUUAUAUUCAUUCAAUGAUUUGAAUGUAAUACAUUUUCAAUGAAUAUGCAUUACAAUCCCUGCAAAUAUUAAAUAUUUUGGUAAAAAUAUUUAAAAGCCUAUCCAUCCAUCUACACAUCAUUUUCAGUUAUUCCUUCUUUUUUAAAUUAAAAGAGCAUCAUUCUUUCAUGUUUAAUUAAAAGAGCAUCUUGUAGUUUAAGGCAUAUAAUAGCUAAAAAAAAAUGAUGGUUUUCAAAAUUAUAUAUGGCGUAGUAGUUAUUCUAGAAAAGGAUGGUUUUCAAAAUUAUAUAUAGCGUAGUAGUUAUUACUAGAGUAUUGGAUUACAAAAAUAUUAUUUAAUAGAAUUUCAGUUAUAAAAAUAUUUUUUUUUCUAUAUUUACAAAUAGUUUGAGAAUAGCGUGUUUUCAUAAGGAUAAACUUUACGGGUGACAACUGAUAGUAUUUAAGUAGGUUAAAAAUAUUUUUCUCCAAAAAAAGUUGUUAAAAAUAGUAAUUCUACUUUAUUCUCAGAGAUAAAAAAUUUAGUUCAAUACUAGUUUCAAUCGUUUGUUAAGACAUACGAUAAAUUUUUGAAUAAUUCAUAAAUGAGAUAAGAAAAGAGACUAAAUAAUAACCCCACAUCGUCACUAGCAAAAUCCAAAGGAAAGCACUACAAGAGAAUUAAGUUAUAGCUUCAUAUUUUUGGAACACUUUUGUAUAAAUGUUCGUCCAAAAUUUUUUUAAAAAAAUAUACCUACUAAAGCCCAAAUAUAAGGCCCAGCCCACUUAAAAAUAUAUUAACCUGCUUGACCCAACCACCCAACCUAAUCAGCCCAAAGAAAAAACCGAUCUCUACCUCGUCUCCCCUCUCUCCGACCCCUAAAACCGUAGACGUAGAUCCCCUCGCUCUCCUCCUCCGCCGCCGCCGUCGCAGCCGAUGAGGGAGGGAUCCGGCGGCCAGAGUUCAGCUGUGAGGAUCGCACGGAAACCGUAAAGGUCUAUGAUCGUCAUGUAUCCCUCCGCCACAAGUCGCCGGAGGAGUGGGCGCCAAACGUCGAGGCGGCGGCGGGCAGGAGGAGUCCGGCGUCCGCCUCCUGGCUGUGCUCGCGGUGGCGCUGAAGGUGCAAAAGGAGGAGAUGAAGAAGAAGGUGAGAUCGAUCAGUGCUAGGGUUUCUUGUUCAUGAGGAUUUAGGGUUAAUCUCUUGUGAGAAUCCCUUUGUGCGUGAAUCGCUUUGCUUGGUAUCGUAUAAAUUAAGGCUUAUAGAUGAUCUUUGAUUAAGCUUUUGGAAUUGCUCUAGUGCUUGUUUAAUUUACACAGUCCUCUUUAAGCUCUUAGCCAUUGUUAUAAUGGCAUUACGUUGAGAACCUUGAUUGGGGAUUUGUUGAAAUUAACAGCCCUGUUAAAAAAAAGCGUUUAAAACAGUCAAAAUUUAAUAGAAUCACUCUUAAAUUUAACAGCUGUUUGUGAUGUCUUCUAGAAUAUGUAUUAGCGCGAUUCAUAACAAAAAGGGAACCUGGCAUUGCUCUAGUGAUGCAAGUUCAGAGGAAAGGUAAGCUUAUCAAGUACCAGUCAAUAGCUGUUUUAACUGUUAGUUGUCUGACAAUAUUUAGAGAUAAUAUAUCUGAGAAUUGACAAUUUUAUCAGUCGAUGUCUUACAGCAGCCUCUUGUUAUUAGGCAUGUUUUGAUCACUAUAUCUUUAUGUAUGAUACAUAGUCAUCAUAAUUUUAUUUCUCUCAUUCUUGUGCACUGUGGCUCAGUUUCUUGUGGACUGUUCAGGUUUUUCUAAUGUAUUGUGCAAUGAUUGAGCCAAAUAUAUCAAGUAUGAUCCGUUGUUUCUCAUUUAUACUUCUACUUUAUUACUUGACCUGGAAAAUAUUUUUAACAUUAAUCAUUCUAAGAAUUUAAUUCUAGCUAGAGUGAAUGGUAGUCAUAUCUUUUACUCUUUAUUCCUUGAUCUGUUUUUGUCACAACUGCACCCUAAUUAUAGUAAACAGAGGAAAUGUCAAAGCUAGAUGUUGGCAGUAUGUUUCAAUUUGCAUUGUAGCGUUUUGACUUCUGUUAAGUGUUAAAAUCUAUGAUUCAAAUUUAAAUGCUUUACAGAUGGGAAGUUAGUUCUUGUGCGAUGGACUCUCUGUACGAUCUAAACCUCAUAUCAAAAGUAGUUCCAAUGUUUUUGGACAACUCCAAGGUGUGGCACUAAAUACUGUCAACAAGUAUGAAACUAGAAAAGAGAGGGGUGGCUCACGUGGAAGGAGUCAGCAGAUUUGAUCUCAAAGAAAAUAGCAUGUACUCAAAUGUACUCCUAAUAAAUCACACUGCAAGUCCUCUGGCAUGGUAAAAUUUAUUGUUAUUAUUUCAUUAAUAACCUUUCAUUCUUUCUACUUGUCAGAUUUAAUAUCUAGGAUGCAUUUCUUUUGCUCGUAAAUAUCAAAAUCGAUGAAAUAUGGACAAAUUUGCUAGGUGAAUGUUUGUAACAUCAAGUGCUAGUCUUGAUCAUGAUAACCAUCCAGUUUUAUGGAGUGCAAGGAUAGAGCCAAUCACAGCUCUGUUUUGCUGCCACACUCCUUUGCCAACCAAAGCAGCUGAAAGAGUGCAAAAUGUGGCAGAUAAAGUAUGUCUUCUUCAGCUUUUUCUUUUUUUCCCCCUUUAAUUUCAUGCCUGUUGAAAGUGUGACUUUCUCUCUUGUCCUGGAAUAUAUGCGGAUUAUUCUUCCAGCUGUUGUCAGUUGUUUCUUGUUUUUGAUUUGGAACUUUUGAUUAUCCAGCUCUUCCAAUUUUCAUGAUAGACAGGAUGUACACUUCUGUCAUGAUAAAUAAGAUGUACUCCCAUCGGAUUUCUUCUAUAAUCCGCAUCUUUCAAAUGUCAAACAACCUCUUUACAUUUUAAGCCCUAUCAUCCAACUAGAGUUGUUGUUUCAAUUGCUUUCUUGAGUAGUCAAUGCUAGGUGAUCUUGGUCGAUUUUAAUAGGCACUUGAUUUGGGUGAUCUUGGUCUCUCUUUCCAUCUACCUUUCCAUGAGUAGGAAUCUUAUUUGUUUCCUAUCGAAUUGGCACACAAAAAAUGAGCUAAAUAAUUUAACUUGCUAUCAGCAUUAAGCUGUUCCUGAUCUCAUCUAUUUGAGGAAAAGAAGCUUGUAUUAGCACUUGAGCUACAUCCGUAUAAUCCGAAUAAUUAAUUAGAGUAACUUGCUCACAGUAUAAAACCUGUAACUUGCCUGUUAGUUCGUUCAACAUAGACAUGUAGUAUUGGUAAUAACAUGCAGCACAGUUACUCUUUUAGGCACUUGAUUUGGCAUAUAGGCCUAGAUUUUUAAACCCAUGUUGAUAACUAAGUCAAGUUGCGGGCCUUAGUUAAGCAACUCCUACACAGCUUACGAACUGACUGAAUUAGGCUUGUCUUAAAGUUAUGCGGUAUAAUUAAGAGGUUUGAGUGACCAUAACAUGCUUAGUGUUAUAGUUUAUAUUGUUUGCGUAUUUAUGCGUACAUGGUCAUGUUAUUCGUGCAAAAUGCUCUUUUUGUGUCUGGUUCGUAAAUAUUAAUGUUAACUUUCACCUACUGAAGCACGACAGAGUUCUACAAAUGGCCUUUCUUUUUUGAUGCAAUUACUUUGAUUUUCGUUCAUAUAUAUAUAUAUAUAUAUAUAACUAGGCUGGAAUACUAUUAAUAGCACCAAGCUAUUGGUGCUAUUAGUUUUUUAGCCACGGGAUUGAGAAAUUUGUGGUUAGGAUGAUGUGGGCCCCCUAGGGUUGAGUGGGUGGUUGGUUGAUAGUAUAAUGUAACGGGUAAAAAUAAUUAAAGGGUUAAAUCUAACGGUGAAAAACUCGAUAGCACCAAGCUCUUGGUGCUAUUGAUAGUAUCCAAGUCCCGACUCUAUAUAUAUAUAUAUAUAUAUAUAUAUACUAUACAUAUAUAUAUAUAAUAUAAUAUAUAUAAUAGCUAGGUUGGUAUACUAUCGGUAGCACGAAGGCCUCCGUGCUACCAAGUUAUUUUCAAUGAUACCGCUUCUAAAUCGACGAUCGGCUCUGUUAGACUUGAUCUACACUAUUGAAAGUAUUUGGAAACUAAAUUUCAUACUUUUUCGGUAUCAUUUACCUAUCAAACAAGUAGUCUAAAAAUGAACGGCUGAAAAUAAAAAUCUCAUAAAAAAUAAUGAUAGAAGACUUGAAUUUAAGAUCAGAGAUACUGAUCUUACUCUAAAUAGUAAAAAGAAUUUUCUAUAAAAAUUUUAUCAGAUUUGCAUUAUUUUACAUCGUUAAAUUUACAAAUGCAUCACAUCUACCAUUAAGUCAAUUUUGAGACCUUUUGAUUACUAGCCAAAUGAUGUCGAAAAAUUAUGAAAUUUAGUUUCCAAAUAUUUUUAAUAGUGUAGAUCAAGUCUAACACAGCCGAUUGUCGAUUUGGAAGCCGCAUCAUUGAAAACAACUUGGUUGCACGGAAGCCUUCAUGCUACCAAUAGUAUACCAGCCUAGCUCUAUAUAUAUAAUAUAUUAUAGAAUAUAUAUAUAGGAGUAGGACACUGUGCUAUUAGGAGCACAGCAGUCUUGUGCUCAAAGUUUAACGCACAGCAGCCCUUGCCCACUCUUUGUUUAUACUUAUGGUUAUCCUUUUAAAUUCUUUUUAAGAAAUUUCUUCUUCUUUUUUUACCCUGUAUUUUUCUACAUUUUUCAUUCUUUUUACUCUACUAUCUCCUACUCCCUUGUUUUUCUUCUAUAUAUAUAUAUUAUAUGAUAUAUAUUAUAUGUAUAUGUAUAUAUAUAUAUGUAUAUGUAUAUAUAUAUAUGUGUAUAUAUAUAUAUAUAUAUAUAUAUUAUAUAUGUAUAUGUAUAUAUAUAUAUGUAUAUAUAUAUAUGUAUAUGAUAUAUAUAUAUAUGUAUAUGUAUAUAUAUGUAUAUAUAUAUAUAUAUAAUAUGUAUAUAUAUAUAUAUAUAUAUAUAUAUAUAUUAAGUCGCGCUAGGUAUGCUUAUGGAAGUACGGAGCCUCCGUGCUUCCACUUUGUUUUCGAUGUUCGGACUUUCGAAUCGACGAUCGGCUCCGUUAGACUUUAUCUAGAAUAUUUGAAGUAUCUAGAAAAUAAAUUUGCGAUUUUUCGAUAUCGUGCUAUGCAUCGAUGUGUCGCUAAAAUUCAACGGCUGAAAAUAAAAAUCUUACAAAAUAUGAUGAUAUGACAUUAAAAUUUUAGAUCAAAGUUAUUGAUCUUGUUUUAUAUGGUAUAAAGAAGUUUCUAUCAAAAUUUCAUGUGAUUUGGAUAUUUCUACACCGUUAAACUUGCAACCGGCUCACCACGGCCGUUAAAAUUAUUGAUUUUGAGCCCCUUCGAUCACUAGGCAAAUGAUAUCGAAAAAUCGCAAAAUUUAUUUUCUAGGUACUUCAAAUACUCUAGAUCAACUCUAACGGAGCCGAUCGUCGAUUCGAAAGUCCGAACAUUGAAAACAAUUUGGAAGCACGGAGGCCUCCGUGCUUCCAUAAGCAGACCAGCACAACUCUAUAUAUAUAUAUAUAUAUAUAUACCAAAAUGCAUAUGUUUCUAUAUGUAUAAAGAGAAACAAAGAAGGUACCAGGAUUGUUUCCAUAUGUAUAUGUUAGGAGGUGAACUCCUAUCUGACCCUCUACUAUGUAUUUGAUAUUGUACUUUCUUCAUCACUACCGUGUGAACUUAAGGUUGCUAUCUUAUGGGUUUUUCUAUGAUAUUCUUUUGUUUUCUUUAUUGUACUAUUCUUCCUUUCAUUCUCUUCAAUUCUUUUUUUACUAUAUAUGUGGCGAAAUACUGGUGGUGUAUAUAUUCUUUACCUAUUCUAUAACUGUUCAAAGUCAAGAUGAUAGGAGUAAACAAAAAGAUCCAAAAUGUAUAGUUUGCUACUCUGCUUUUACUUCUCUCCUAUUUUUUUCAUAUUCUUAAGCUGACUUUCUCCAAAAAAUAAUGAUCUAUUAGGCAUAUCUCUCCUCUUACUUGCCUUUUCUCCUAAGCUUUUCCUGUAUCCUUUACACACAAUUAUGUAUAUUUUUUAUUAUAUUUGGGAGGGCAAAAUGUGGAGAGGAGGAGGCGAAGCAAUGGAAUCACGGGCGAUCGACACGUAUCCGAUACCAAAGUCUCGAUUCAUGUCUUGCUAUUUUAUCGAUUGAUUAUUGAUUUGCUCAUUCUUUAGACACUGUUUGCCUUAGUUUUUUAAAUUACAGCUUCUUUGAAUUUCUCUAUUCGUGAUGACUACGGACUGAUUGUUUCUCACCCUGUUUGGUGUUUAGGAUUUGGUCUGUAUACAAUGCUGAAAUUACUGCUUUCUACUCCGCAUUUUCUAAGAUGAUGGCAAGAGAGGUUUAAACAAAAAGCUUGCUGCUACGGGAAUACUACUAUAUUUUCCUACCUUUGUUGUUGCCAGGUCUUGCCUUUUCAUUUGCACACUUUGUCUUCCUGCCCUUAUCAAUUCUUUUCCUACUCUCUUUGCAACUACACAGACGAUGAUGGGAAUAGCAAUAAAAAUGAUAAAAAAAACAUAGUACUUUCAUUCCAGUUUCAACUGUAGAUUAUUCUAUACUUUGGUUUGUUGACAAAUAUUUAACGGACAGGCCAAUGCAAAAACACAAGCAUGUAUGCUGUCAUUUCUUCUUUUUUUUUUCUGUACUGUUUCUUUCGCCGCCUUACUUGACUGUUUCUUUUGCUGCCUUACUUGAUGGAGAUGCAUGGUGGAAAAACAUCAUUGCUCCCUUCCUUUUGCCUUAUUUGCUUAUGAACUGAUAAGAAUAUUUGCCUAGCACUCUCCGUGGCGACAAAAAUAUGUGAUGGUGAUCACCUACCUGAGUCUCUGAGCUCCUAUCUAGCUCUGCAUUGUUUUAUGGGUUUGUGAGUGAAUCUCUGAUGUAGACGACUAUAUAUCGUGGUGAAAGGGAAGCCAAGGGGUUGGCGGUGCAAAAUAAAAGCACAUAUGCUAUUUAAAACUUCCAACCGAUGUUUUCUUAUACAUUAUUAUUUCGGCGGCUUUCUUCUGUUCCUCUAGCGGUGCUUUUUGUUUUUUUUUUUUAUAUAACAUCUCUUUAUAUUGAUUCUUCCUGAAUUUCAUUCUUGCUACUCUAUUUGCUAUGAAUAGAGUAUACAUUGGAUUUUUUCUAAUUUGGUUGCAUGUGAGGUUUGUUUGGAACUUCACAAUGAAACUUUAUAUGGCAAAAGACUAUUCGUGCCUUUUAUUGAAUUUCGUCGAUUUUGGGGGUGUUGCUGCUGCAAUGUUUUACAGAGUUUAUCUUUCGGUGUCGCUUUUCCCUUCUCUUUUUUAUCAUGUCUUCUCCUGUUAUUUUUACCUACUUUCUGUCUCUUGCUAACUAUAUUGUACUCAGAUAAAUACAAAUCCUGUUGGUAUUUGCGUUGGCAAUUCUAUUAAUUUUAACACUUUUGACGGUUGGAUUUAAUUGUAAUGAAAUCUAGAGACUAGGGACUUGGUUGCAAAAAAAAGUCAGUAAUCAAAUUUGAAAAAUAGUGCAAAGGUUGAGGACCAAUGUUGUAAUUAACCCUACUACUAUAUGCUAACUAGAAUAGUCGACAAUAGAAUAUAAGUAAUUUCUACCGAUGGUACUAUGAUAUACCAUGCGGGUUAUUAAAAAAAAGAACAAUUGUGUAGUUUGUGAAUCAUUUUGUGGGGGCAAUUUUACAAAAAGAAUAAGUAAUAUAUAUAGGAAUCACAGUUCAUUUCUUUUCUUUUUUUUUUACCCGGUUUUCUUUGUUCGUCUCUCUGCUCAUUAUGAAUGUAACGUUUUUUUUUCUAUUGUUUGCAUUUGAGCUUAGCUUAGAAUUGAAUGAUUAAAUUAUGCAUGCAGCAAGUUGUUGUGCAAAUAAAAGUCAGAUAAUAUCCCAAAUUUAUUGGUGCAUAAUAAUAAGAGUAGUGAUGUCAACGGAUCGGGUUUGGAUCGGAUUUUCAAAAAUCCGAACCCAAACCUGAAAACCAAAUUAAAACCCGAACAUAGACCCGAACAUUGCGAGUUUUAAAAAUUCAUACCUAUAUCCGUAUCCCACCAAAAAUUCGAAAUCCGAACCCGAACCCAAACUCUGCAGGUUUUAAAAAUCCAUACCGUUGGAUGAAAGGGAUAAAAAAUUACUAAAUAUUUAUAUUAUAUAUAUGAAUAAAAAUAAAUUAUGUAUAUAUAUAAUUUAUUUGGGUCGAGUUCGGGUUCGGGUCGGGUAAAUACAAAAUCCAUACCCGUAUCCAUUUCCGUCGGAUUUAAUUUUCUAUACUUAUAACCGAAUUCAUACCCGUUUAGCUCGGGUAAAUCCGCCCCGUUCGGGUUCGGGUUCGGAUAAUAUUUGGGGCAUCCAUACCCAUUGACAUCCCUAAAUAAGAGAACCCAUAAGGUUUAUGAGGGUUGUAAACAAUUAGAAUGUGAAAUUAUUUCUGUUUACUGAAAUAGUAACAAAUCUACCCAUUUUGAUUGAUAAUAAGGAAGUAGUUUAGUUGAUUACAUGGUAAUUUCUUAGUAGGUGUUUGCAGUGGAUAACAUCUCAGUAUAUCAAACUUGCGAGAUCUAUCAUCAUAUUCUUUUGUUGGGAUUAAAUGGACAUAACGACAGUGCAUAGAGAAAUUAGAAAGAAACGGAAGAUUAUUCUCGAUCACCGAAUAAUAGGCAGGAACUCCUAAUUACCGAGCACAUAAAUAGUGGUGUUCAUGAAGUACCCUGUAACUACAAUAGCGAUUACAGUGGAACAGCUAGCAGAGGUGGUUAUUUUAUAGUAUCUAGGGUGCCAACAGAAAUAAAUGGAGCAGGCACUUCUCGGGUUGCAACUCAACGUGUUGAGCAAUUUUAUUUAGGAUUACCGAAAUAUCACCUCCGCCAACGUAAUUGCGCCGCUGCUGCUGAGGGUGCGAUAGAGGUGAGGGCGACGGCAGUGUGAUUGUUGUGGCGGAGGGCGCAGCAGAGCCACCACACGAGGGACGAGGAGGUUUGGUUUGACGAGGAAUGGGGGAGGGUGAUGGAGUGGGGAAAUUAGGGGUUCGAGGGUGACAUGUCGUCUCCAACACGGUAAGUUCUUAGAUACUCUUGCUCUAAUAUCAUACAGCUAAUUACUCUAAAAAUAUUUAGCUAUUAGAUAAUGAUACUUUACUCUUCAAGCAUGAUUCAUGAAUAUCAGAUGCGACGAAUAAAUUCUCACCAGAGUAAUCUUCUAGCCUUACAUUGUUACUUUUGAUUAGAUAAAUUCUCACCGGUUUUGUAAGUUGAGAAUUAACUCAUCCAACAUAGGUUAACGCUUCAAAUCUUCAAUGUUUGAGUUGCAUAGAGCUCUAUAUAUCAAUCCCUUUGUCUUUUGUAGUUGGAAUCUGCAGAGUGCUUACAUUGAUGGUUGUCCUUAUUCAUCUCAUUGUUUUUCCAUCAACUUUUUUUUUUUUUUGGGUGUCAUCCAUCUUUAGUUCUAAAUUACGUAGGUUUCAUAUUUUAAAUCUUGCUAAUCAUUGUUUUACUACUUUGCAACAUACUUUUUUCUGUAUAAACCCUUUUUGUCUUUCCUUUGAUAUGAAUAUUUCAGUUAUAAUAUAAUUGUAUUUUGUUUGUCAUAUGCUUAUCUUUGUUGGUUGAUUGCUAUGUUUAAGACUAUUAAGUUAUUCAUUUGAAUUCAUGCAUGCCAUUGUAAUUUUUUCUCUUUCUUCAUCUGACAAAUUCAUAAUAGUUUGAGUAAUGCAUUUUGGUAAGCAUUAAUUUCAGUGAUAAUGCCAUGACUUGCUACCGCUCUAUAGGGUACAACUCAAGUAAAUAUUCUUCAAUGUUCUUACUGAGGAUUGAGACACAGUUUGUUGACUUAAACUAACAGAAGGAACUAUUGCUGAAUUCCUCCCUCCAAUGUUCUGCUGCCUUUUUGGUUGGUAAUUGUUGUCACUGUUUGUUUCCUGUUUAGCUCGAAGUUGACUGUUUAAAAGGAUAGGUUUAUGCACUUUGGAAAUGAUCAUGUAUUAGGCUUCCACAAUGACUAGGCUUCAGCAAUUAAUUCAAGUUGUUGUCUCGUCGUGGUGUUGUUUUGUGAAAAUUGGGUGCUUAUAUGUGAGUAAAUGGCGUAGAUUAAAAUUUAAAUUUCUUCAACUGUUUGCGUGCACCAAUAGCUGAAAUCUGAAACUUCUACUAUUGCUUCUGCUAUUACUUUUUUUUUUAGCUCUUUAUUAUUGCGAUUAUUUUUCUUAAUCUGCGCCAAAUAAACAAAAUUAGUAUUGUUAUCCAUACUUUUUCCUUUUUUCCUAAAUAGAUUGGGUUGGCUAUCUAAACUGAUUUUUUUAUUUUACUUAAAAUAUUUUUAUAAAAAAAUAUAAUUUCAUUUCAUUCUUUAAUUUAUCUUUAAUUUUUAAUUAUUCAAUAUAAAGAUAAAUAAUAUUUAAAAAUAUUAAUGUAUAAUAAAAAAAAUAAUAAUAUUAAUAAUUUUAAUAAUUUACUGUUAUACUGGCUUUUCGCCGCAUCGCGCGGGGCCGUGCGCCCCUUAACUAGUAAACUAAUAAAAGGCUAUAAUAUGGAUAAUUUAUUCCUUCGCACUUUUAUGUGCAGUGGUUCUCUUUCUAAACGACUUUAUUUGAGGUACGAGUUGGCGUUUGCCUUGGUAGGCAUCAGAUUCCACCAUUUCCAGUUUUUACUAAUGUGUGUACAAAAUAAUAUAUACACGUACAGUACUCUUUUCUAUUGAAACCGCGUAGCAAUUCUUGAACCACACAAUUUAAAUCGUGAUGUGGACACAAUCCGGUAGUGAAAAUAGUAAAAAGUUUUGUCCGAAUACAUGAGCAUCUUAUUUAAUAUAUUCUUUUGAUUUAUCUAAAAAGUAUAUAAUAUUUACUGGAUAAGGUGUGAAACCAAAUGUCUAGACUAAAAUAUCAUAUUCGAUCAUUAAGUCAUUUUUUAAAUAACAUAAAUUAUUUUAUUAAUAAAAUAUAUUUUUCUAUCAAAUAAUAAAUUCAUAAGAAAGUUUUCAAUCCAAAUAAAUUAUUUUGGCAUUCAAAAAAGGCCUUCGAUAACAUUUAUAUUAAAGCCUUUAAUUAGGUCAGUCAAAAAUUACUUGUCAAGUCUUAUAUAUAAAAAACUUAGACAUUUAUUUGUAUACAUGCACACAUAAAUAUGUAAAUACAUAUGUACAUAUCUGUAAUAAUUUUUAUUUGCAUCCAACAGUAAAACGAAGGUAAACAUGUUUAUAAAUGUCGGACUAUGAAUUAUUUUGAUUCUACUGUCUAAUUUUUAAAAUUUCAAUAUUAUUACUUAACUUUUUAUUUAUUUGAUUUGAGCUAGUUGAUAACACUUUUAUCUUAACAUUUGCAUGCCUUAUUUAUCUUUAUUUGCUUGAUUAGCACAUUUUAAUUAUAUAAUUUAUGUGACUAUAAUUUUAUUAAAACAAGUUAUAAACCAAAAUUUUUUAUUGGAAGAACCAUUUAAAUGAAACAAAUUAAAAAGUUAUUAUCAAGAUUUAAAUUUUAAAAGAUUGAAUACUCUUGAUCAAAAUUUACAUGUUUACUUGAAAUAAAAUAUAUUCAUGAACAUUAGUAAUGUCAUAUAUAAUCGUGUCCUCCGUGAUCAAGCCAUUUUUUGAGUUUCGAACAACUCAAUUGAUCGAGUUAACCUAGUUUGACCGAGUUUGACUUCAAAUCUAGGGCAACCGUACGUGUGCCCUUAUCAAAUUUGGUUGAAAUCUAUGCCGAUUUCACGUCGACUCUUAAUGGUCAAAUCGAAAGUGGGAGAGAAACCGCGUAGUAAGCCUAAAAUUGAUAUUAAAUGAUAAUAAUAAUAAAUUCUCAGCUCAUGAUAAAUCACCUUUUAAAGCCAAUAUAUUUGCAAGAAAUCCAUAUUUAUUAAAGUUUCAACCCUAAAGUAACAUCUAUAAAUCUAGCUAGCAAACUCUUUAUUAAUUACAUACUUUUACCACAUAUGUAUUUUCCAAAGUCCACGUACUUCUCAAACAUAUAUAUGUAGCGUAGGAGUAGAAAAUAAGCAUAUUUCACCAUCUCAAUCACUGUGAUAAGGGAAAAGACGUAGAAAAAAGUUUGAGCAUCCGUUUGGUUCGGAAUUAAGGAGUGGAAUAACUUCUUAACCCCGAAAUUAUUUCCAAACACCCAAUUUGGAGGGUGGGGUUAGCUAACCCCACCACAAAUGGGCUAUCUUGGGAUAGCGUAUUUAGGGUGGGGUAGCUAACCCCACUCCACCUCACUACUCCAACCAAACAAAAUAUUAUUUUAUCCACUAUCCUUCUUAUCUCAUCUAUUCAAACUAAACAUUAUUUUACCUAUACCUGGAUUAAACUCAAUUCUCAACCAAACAUAAAAUUACUCUAACCCCUCAAUUCUGAACUUAACUCUAUAUCGGGAAUAACAAGUUUUUACUUAACCCCGAAACAAACGGUGGCUCAGAGUUUAUUCCAAUACCUUUUUUGCGCUUCCCUAUUGCCGGACAUAUAGCUGGUUUCUGCAGAUCUCUUUAAUAGGUACGAGCCCCUCUUCGUGGUUGCCCCUUCCUGGGUAUUGGGUUCGCUGGCGAUCCGAUGUCAUCAGCGCGUGGAAAUCGGUUGUCCGCGGCUUCUCUAAUUGGCUCGUUUGUUGAUGCACGCCUCUCGUGAUCUUGGUUGAUCCUUCCUCGGUUCGCCUGCGAUCCAACAACAUCGACGCUGGGACGAAGUCUAUGAUCUUGGUUCAUCCGUGAUGUGACGUCUGCAUCUUGACCUCCGUUCUUUGCGCUGUCGUCUUUCUUGUGAGCUUUCUUUAUCGGAGUAGAGGAGGGCAUGUAGUCUGCUGCUGUGCUGCUGAUGGGAUAAUCCGGAUCAGCUUUCGCCUCUUGUUUGACCUUUUCACUCUUUUUGUCAGCUUCUUCUCUUGCAGUAUCAAACUUUCCAGGUUCCUGAGGUGAGGGCUUAUUAUCACCUGCUGCGCCUGGUGUUUUCACUCCAUUCAUCGCCGAGCUCGGAGGUCCGUUCAUUGCCGGGCUUGGAAGUUGUCCCGAAGCUGGCGGCACUUGCACGGUGUGGCUGCUUGGCGGCUUGGCCUCCGGUUGGCUGGCAGGAGUUCCAUCAUCAGCGUCAUCACCCCCACAACAGAGGAACUUCAGACACAUACUAGUGUAAUACCUCUCUCUCUCUCUCUCUCUCUCUCUCUACCCAAGUUAAGGGAGUUUUGAGGUUAGUAUUAUGAUAUUAAAGCGUUUAAUUAUGGAUAAGAACGGGUGGCAUAUAUGCACCAUAAUGCUUUGCGUGGAAUCUAAUUCUGCGUUAGCUUCGUCUUAAAGCUGGUAAACCGCGUUGAAAGUCAGUCUCCCAUUAAUGAGAUGCCCUAAUGAUUGAGUCAUAAAGCCAAUGAUUAUUAUUUGAUUACAUAUUUACUCGGUUGGUAGGGCUGUCAAUAAGCUCAUGUUGGCUGUCAAUAAGCUAAACAUGAGCGAGCUGGCCAAACCUAGUACGAGCCAACUCAUUAAAAUAUCGAGUCAAAAAAUUUAAAUGUGUAUAAGCAGUCCGUGGAUUUGAACUCAUAAUCGUUCGUUAAUAAACGAGGUGAACGCGAGUUGACUCACAAAUAACAAGUUAAAAAAGAUUAGAAAAAAAAUAUAUAUAGAAAAUAAACUUCUGAAAUUUUAUCUAUUAAAUUUUGAUCAGACGGUUGAAAUUUUAUAUAUAAUGAAUCUUUUUAUAAUUGAGUUAGGCUUUAUAUCUAGGUUGGACUAAAAAUUAAAUAAUAAAAAUAUGUAUUAUAUAUAUAUAAUAAUUAAGUUAUAUAAAUAUAAAAUAUAUGUAUUUGUGUUGUUACCAACUCGAACACAAGCGAGCUAACUCUAGCUCGUGUUAGGCUCGUUUAUUAAACGAGCUGAAAAAUUCACCUCAUAUUCGGCUUGUUUACUACACGAACGAUUCAUUCUCAAACUCUUUUCGAACAGAACAUGACUUGGCUCGGGAAUAGCGAGCUGAAUUACUACCCCUAACGGUAGGGGUUGGGAAUAAUUAAGAGACAAAAAUUAGGCCGAUUUACCAAAUUAGCUAUUUGAGGAAAAAGUUUAUAAUGCACCUGUUAUGGUGCUGAUAUAGCAUUCUCAAUUAAUCAGAUUGUUUUUCUUAAUUAGUUCAUCCAUUCCAUGAUUAUUAGUAAAAUAUUUUUAUUAUAUUUUUCUCUAAAAAAUUGAUAUGGUAUAAUUAAUUACAUAGUAGACUUCCUCCUAUUUGAAAAUGUGGGAUCGACUUUGAGGUAGAAAUAUAGGGGCAAAUUGGGAAGGCAUUUGAAAUUUAUAUUUUUUAAAAAUUAUUAUCUAAUUCAAAAUAUUUUUUAGACUCAUUAACUCAAAAGUAACAACUUUUAUAAAAAUAAAAAAUAUAUAAUCUUAACUCAAAAUAUAUANNNNNNNNNNNNNNNNNNNNNNNNNCACUCGCCUCUGCCUGCUCAGGCAUCUCGGGAGAUCUAGCACGAUCCUGCGCCAACUGCGCACGCUCCCGCAACGACGGUCGGCCUCGGCGACGAUACAUAGCUGAAAAGAACAAAUCGGGGUCAGAUACAACAAAACACUCUCGACCCAAUCAAACGAAAGUCUAGAAGGCAGCCCCUGUUUCUCCUCGAAAUUAUGUCGUCUGCAGCCAACAUAAUUUCUCAGGCCAAAACAGAAACUCCUUCAGUCACUCACUCUACUCCAAGAGGAAUUAAAACAUAUAAUCAUUGACUUUCGCAAUAAAAUUACGCCUCUCACGUCUUGCUUCCCUAAGGUUUGCCAAACUUAGGUUUCCUAGGUCCCAACGACCUACAGCAAAGCUCUGAUACCAACUUAAUCUGUCACGCCCCGGACUACACGUUCCCCGGCCACGCCGACAAAUCCGCCGUAUACAAAGAAAUUUUCCCUGUAUACGAAGCGAUAGCUGUACCUGUAAAUCAAACACUACUACGAACAGUAGUAGAGAGCUGCUAGAGAAAAACUGAAGCUAAAUAAAACAGAGUUUCAUAUACAUAGUUCAGAUCCAAAAUACAGAGCUACUCGCACUGGCGAGUUAAGUCACUAUGUACAUAAUCUCGAAACCAAACCUCUACCUGCAGUAGGGCACCUCUAGCUCAGCACGUCGGGUAGGGCUCUAACUCGCGACGCCCUUGCCUCGAUCCUGGUCCGCAGUCGGUGCAGCAGCCGGAACCUGUGGCUCUGCAAAAACAUAGGUAACAACUGGGCGUGAGAACUACUGUAAAAACAAGUAGUUCUCAGUGGGUACCGCCCAAAACAACAUCGGUCACCUACUAAGUCUACAGAAGGGAGCAAGGAUAGAAGGAAAGCAGGAAGCAUACUCUACCACUAUCAUCCACUACACUAUCAUGCUCUACACUAACCAAUUGUAGGAAAUAUCAAAUCUGAUCCAAUCCAAUCGGGACUGCAAACAUACCCGUCCCCGGGACUGUGAAUACACCCGUCCCUGCCCCGUUGCGACUAUCCAGCUCAAUCCACACUAACUGGUCCGUGGAGAGCAAGUCCAACUGGCAUGAGCGACACCAACGCAAAAGCACAAGCCCAACUCCGGAGUGGCACUCGUGGGCGCUACCCAACCGAGUAUGCAGCGUAUCUCUGUCGAGCUCAAUCAGGCUCCAACUAGCCAAAGUCAAGUAAUCGACUCAAAUUGAUCUAACAAUCACUCAGGUAACGUGCCCUCGGCACAAUCUGACGCCAAAAAGGCGAUACGGGUUCACCGUCAACUCUGACGGCACCCAACAGUCCGAAACGACCUGAUCGACCCUGUAAAAAUCCACUCGGCGAACCAGCACGAGUGUAAAUACAUUCUCAACUACCUGGAGUACUCGUCUCGAAGAAACUGCGACAGUACAAUUUUCUAACGGCUUCUAGAGCUAAAUCAGGUAGUUAAAACUGGUGACAGGUCCAAAUCGCAGGUUUUCUCCUAAUUCAAUUUCCAAGUCCAACAUGUAUAAACUAAUUAAUUAUAAAGCAUGCUCAAAAUUCAGUUCUCACAUUCAAGCACAUAAUCCAUGGAUUUGAGCUAAACUAAAUUACCAAAAAUUCAGAUCUAUACAUGUCGACGAUUAUGAACUUAGGAGUCGAAACCGAUGUAACCCACCUCAAGUGCAAUUUCCUGGCAGCGAACUCAGCCUCGGCCACCCGCGAUGCUGCUGGAUUCCUCAGGGACCACCUAGACCGGUCGCCGAGCUAAAACGACCAAAACAUCACAAAUCAGCCUAAGUUCACAGCAGCUGAAAGAGACCAAGUUUCGACCAAGCUAACCUCGUCCAAAAAUUGCAAGUGAGGGCUCCGUGGAAUCCUCUCGCAGUCUAGAAUCCAAUGAACCAAGUUUCGUCGCGAUCCGACGCUCCUACGCGGAGAACGAGCCGAAAUACUAACAGUCGACGGUAGAUUCUGCGAAAACAGCACUUAAGCUCACAUCAACGAUACCCGAAGUACUCGGAGCAAUUGCGACCAAAAUGCUCACCUCAACAGCGACAACCCUCGGCGCGAUGUCCAGGACAGCGAAGACGCACCCUCGCCCGGCCUCCUCGCAAUGCCCCGGCAACAAACGCUCGCUCGAACGGCUCGCGGCGCGACGUCGGCGAAUCCCCGGCUCAACCGUGCUCCACCUCCACCAAGCCUAGAGAGAGAGAGAAAGAAGAAAGCACAAAAGCCUUCUCUCUCUUCCUCUGUUCGGUUUCCAACUGAUAUAGAGAGGAAGGGAAGGAAUCGUUACAAACGAGGUAGAAAAUUACGGAUUUAGCCCUUACCAACUCCCUUGUACCGGUACACGGAUUGCUGUACCGGUACAAGGCCAAACCCGAGAGCAACUGAGUUCUGUCGCUCGCUCUGUACCGGUACAAAUGGACCCUUGUACCGGUACAACAAGCGACUUCCCAUGAAGGUUGUACCGGUACAGCACAAACCUUGUACCGGUACAGCAGAGUAAAAAUCCUGCAAUUUCGCAGAUUUUCACACAGAAUGCUGCCCUCGCGUCGCACGGAGUCCGUCUCGCGUCUAUUUGACGCCAACGCGACUCGGGCUUGUCUCGACACUCUCCAGAGUUGUCGACAAGUCCCCACUGACAGAAACCGGGGUCUCACAGAAAGAAAGUGAAAAGUUUUUUUAGAGGUGAGGUAUUUUUGUUGUUGUUGUUGUUAUUAAUUCGUUAUCUGUAUUUUUGUAUCUGUGUAAUACUUAAAUUUUUUUUAAACUUAUCUAAAUAUUUUUUUUAUUUUUUUAAUGUUUCUUUUUAGUUUUUU
RNAcentral lists this long non-coding RNA (24723 nucleotides) under Ananas comosus (pineapple). RNAcentral's name for it is "long non-coding RNA (ACOM_LNC019412)". Lineage: Eukaryota; Viridiplantae; Streptophyta; Magnoliopsida; Poales; Bromeliaceae. The record is from RNAcentral.